UACAGAGGGUGCGAGCGUUAAUCGGAAUUACUGGGCGUAAAGCGUGCGUAGACGGUUUCGUAAGUCGGGUGUGAAAUCCCCGGGCUCAACCCGGGAACUGCGUCCGAUACUGGAAGGCUUGAAUCCGGGAGAGGGAUGCGGAAUUCCAGGUGUAGCGGUGAAAUGCGUAGAUAUCUGGAGGAACACCGGUGGCGAAGGCGGCAUCCUGGACCGGCAUUGACGCUGAGGCGCGAAAGCCAGGGGAGCAAACGGG
RNAcentral lists this ribosomal RNA (253 nucleotides) under uncultured bacterium. RNAcentral's name for it is "partial 16S ribosomal RNA". It matches the Rfam family "Bacterial small subunit ribosomal RNA", at positions 524 to 776 of the family's 1533-position model. The record is from RNAcentral.